GGCGAACGUUAGCGGCGGGCCUAACACAUGCAAGUCGAACGCGAAAGGUCUUCGGACUGAGUAGAGUGGCGCACGGGUGAGUAACACGUAGGUAAUCUACCCUUUGGCGGGGGAUAACGUUCCGAAAGGAGCGCUAAUACCGCAUAAGACCACGGAGUCUCCGGACGCUGUGGGAAAAGGUGGCCUCUUCUUGAAAGCUACCACCGAAGGAUGAGCCUGCGUCCCAUCAGCUAGUUGGUAAGGUAAUGGCUUACCAAGGCGAAGACGGGUAGCUGGUUUGAGAGAAUGAUCAGCCACACUGGCACUGGAACACGGGCCAGACCCCUACGGGAGGCAGCAGUGAGGAAUAUUGGGCAAUGGGCGAAAGCCUGACCCAGCCACGCCGCGUGAGUGAUGAAGGCCCUCGGGUCGUAAAGCUCUGUGGAGAGGGACGAAAACCCUGGUUUCAAAUAGGCUCCAGGCUUGACGGUACCUCUUUAGCAAGCACCGGCUAACUCUGUGCCAGCAGCCG
RNAcentral lists this ribosomal RNA (511 nucleotides) under uncultured bacterium. RNAcentral's name for it is "bacterial SSU rRNA". It matches the Rfam family "Bacterial small subunit ribosomal RNA", at positions 28 to 517 of the family's 1533-position model. The record is from RNAcentral.